Molecule: long non-coding RNA, 788 nt
Filed under: Marmota monax (woodchuck)
Lineage: Eukaryota; Metazoa; Chordata; Mammalia; Rodentia; Sciuridae
Source: RNAcentral
CCUCACCUCCCUUGGCCUGAGUUGGCAUUUGAUAAAUUUGGUGUGUAAAUAAAAUCACUGCAAAGGCUGCCUCUCCAUCUGGAGGCCCUUCACUUCUGGGCCCUGCCCUGAGAGAGGGAAGUGGGCAGAUAUUGGUAUGGCCGGAGGAGGUGGCCAGGGUUGGGGGGCAGGUGCUGAGGACUGAGCCAUAAGGAAGCAAGAUUGGGGAGCUGGAGCAGACACCUAGAGGAGCAGAACCUCAAGGGGCUCAUUUGAACAUCUUUGAAACUUCUGUGAAGUCAUCGUGGGAGAAGUAGUGGAAGUGACCUUCAGUCCAGGAUGAGUGGGGAGCCAGGUUGGGGGGAAGGUUGAGGAAGAGGGAUUCCAGCUCAGGGUGAGGCGUGUUCACCCAUCCUCCCCCUCAGCCAGUGUUAGCUGAGUACCUCUCCUUACCCGGCUCAGUGUGGGGACCUCAUAGUAGUGCUCGGGGUGGAGGAACAUUAUCAGAGGUUCACUCAAAUAAAUGUAAAAUCGCUGCCAGCAGGCAGUGCUACACACAGGAAAGUCUUGGUGCUGUAAAGAGCCUGAAAUGGGAGACAUGGCCUAGAGAGGGUCGGGGUCAUGAUUCUGGAGCUGAGGUUAAAGAGAACUCAGAACUGAAGGAGGGGGCAGAAGGAAGGGUAUUUCAGGCAGAGGGAGCAGCCUGUGCAGAAGCCUGUGGACAGACCGUAUAGUGACUGCAAGGACCACAAGCAGGCAGUGUGGCUGGAAACAAAAGUUCAGGGAGGCCAGGCUAGAGAACAGGGGAA